AGAGUUUGAUCCUGGCUCAGAUUGAACGCUGGCGGCAUGCUUUACACAUGCAAGUCGAACGGUAACAGGGAGCUUGCUCCGCUGACGAGUGGCGAACGGGUGAGUAAUGCAUCGGAACGUGCCUAUUUGUGGGGGAUAACGUAGCGAAAGUUACGCUAAUACCGCAUACGCCCUGAGGGGGAAAGCGGGGGAUUCGUAAGAACCUCGCGCAAUUAGAGCGGCCGAUGUCGGAUUAGCUAGUUGGUGGGGUAAAGGCUCACCAAGGCGACGAUCCGUAGCGGGUCUGAGAGGAUGAUCCGCCACACUGGGACUGAGACACGGCCCAGACUCCUACGGGAGGCAGCAGUGGGGAAUUUUGGACAAUGGGCGAAAGCCU
Molecule: ribosomal RNA, 376 nt
Filed under: uncultured bacterium
Lineage: Bacteria
Description: bacterial SSU rRNA
Rfam family: Bacterial small subunit ribosomal RNA
Source: RNAcentral